Long non-coding RNA from Lolium perenne, 536 nucleotides. RefSeq lists it as uncharacterized. The record is from RefSeq and is a predicted model, not a curated record. Lineage: Eukaryota; Viridiplantae; Streptophyta; Magnoliopsida; Poales; Poaceae.
UUUAGUAGAGAUGGGCAACCUUUGUUUUAUGCUUGCAAAACAAAACCUCUGCAAUUUAACUUUAGCUCUUUUGUUUUGCUUAAGUCUUCAAAUGGUGGGGCAUAUCAUUUGCUCCUAUUCUUGUGUAGUGUUAUGUAAGCUUCUUAAAAUAGGGAGAAUGAUUGCCCGCUUUUCCAAAAAUGUUUCAAAUUAUAAUGUGAAUGUUUUUGUUGCCAAACUAAUGCACUUGUCAUCUUUAUGAUGUUAUCUACCAGGGGAUAUUUGGUUUAUACCAUGGUGAUAACCAAUAGAGGCAAUUGCUAAGUUGUGAUGCACUCAUACCUUUACUAGAUGCGAACAAUUCCGGAGAAGAAGAAGAAGUGGAAUCGGAUGAGAAGAUUAUUUAUAUUGUUGGAAUUCUUAUAUUGAUGGAGUUGAAGAAGUACAGGGACAAAUAAGCCAAGGCAAGCCAUCUUUUGACCUCUGAUUUGGUGUCUAGUUGGAUGUCAUUUGUUGAUGUCCAAAGCACCUUGGUUCUAUGUGUGUUGUUCUCCUUA